Acinonyx jubatus (cheetah) is the source of this 3589-nucleotide long non-coding RNA. RefSeq lists it as uncharacterized. NCBI's taxonomy places the organism in Eukaryota, Metazoa, Chordata, Mammalia, Carnivora, Felidae. The transcript has 5 exons. The record is from RefSeq and is a predicted model, not a curated record.
GAAUCCAGAGGGGCCCGGGAGGGAGCCUGGCCUGCAGGACAGCGCUGUGUGAGGGCCCAGGGCCCAGGGAGGGGGAAGUCAGACCGUCGGAUAGUCUGGGGCAGCACCCGUGUGUGGGGCCAGGAGGCAGCAGCGGGCAGCGGAGACCGGGGCUGUGGAGAGGGCAGACGUGGGGCUGCCUGGCCAUCCUGCUCCCACGUCUACCCUGUGUGGUCACUGGGCCCGGGAGCUGGUUUCCGGAAGACUGGACGCCGCCGAGGAAGGCAGUGUCUGCCCGGGGCGCGAUCCGCGAGCAGGACUGGGGAGGCCACAGACGGCCGAGCCCAAACUUCAAGGAGGGACGUUACAAUAGGUCUGGGGGUUCCAGUCAUGCCUUGGAGCAGUUUCUGGAACUUCAAGUGAGGCUCAGAGAGGACACUUUGCCUCCGUGUGGGAUGACGUGAGAGGAUGGGGAGGGGCCGGGAAUGGGUGCCCCCAGUGCCACACCCCUGCUCCCCUGCUCCCCUCACACAGACCUCGGCAGGAGGGUGGCAGGGUGGGGGAAACGGAGUCCCGGGCACAUGAAUUCCUCCUAGGCUGGAGGCCGAGCGGAGACCGACCCCUGUCUUCUUUCCUCCCUGCUGCUGCCACCAGGCCCCUCUGACGGCAACUCCUGCCUGUCCCCAGCCCCCCACGAGGUUCCACCAGCCUCUCCCCAGGGUGGCACCCUUUCCCCCUGGGGGAUCCAGGGCCCAUCGAGGGCUGGGGGUGGGGGUGGGGUGGUUGGUGAAAAAGCCCAGACCCCAGAGCAGGAGCCCAGAGAAAGUCAGAGCACAGUGGGCCCUGGGCUCCAGGGGGCCCUGACAUGUAGGGGGGUCCUCACAUCUGUCCACCUGGCCCCAGGGCCUGUGGGGGCAGAGGGCAGUCCUGCCCACACGCUGUCACUAGGUCCUCCCCGCUGCGGGCAUUCCCAGAACUCGGUCAAAUUGUUUUCAAGGGGACGCACUCGAUUAACCAUCAACCUGGGAGAAUGACUUCUCAGUGGACUCCGGGCUGCUGGUACUUUUCCAGAGCCACUGUGCCCCAGUCCCCACCCAGUGUCCCUGGGAGAGUUCCCAAGCUGUGGCAGAAGGAGUCCAGGAACCCCACCUUUGCACCUGCGGCCUUAUGGGGGUCCCCCCACAGCACCCCGCAAGGCACCAUCCCAGUUCCCAGUUCAGACCCCUUCUCCCCAGACCUCCCGCCCCCCUCCCCCCGACCCAGGCUCAGUCCAGAGCACCCCCAGUGCCUUCCCGUACUCCCACCGCUCAGUGAUGUUCCAGAUCCCUCCUCAGGGCCUGAGGGACCCGGCCCUGGGGCUGCCCCCGACUCCCUCCCCACUGUGGACCCUUAGGUGCACACAGAUGAUACAGAGUAGGUCCAGGGGCUCUGCCUGUGGGAGGGGUGCCCCGAGCCCACACGUCAGUGCAUUUGUGCUCUCGAGCUGACCACGGAGGCUUCGGCAGGGCACCAGGGCGCAAGCCAGCUGGUUUCCGGGGAGCAGGGCAGCCGCGCGUGAGCACGUCGGUCACUAAAAGGACAUUUGGCUUCAGGCUCCUCGUGUGGACCUUUGACAGGCAGAGUGAGCCUGUGGGGCAGGCUUGCUGUGAACAGGUGCACGUUCAGGAAUGUAGGUGGGGGUGGGGAGCGCGUUCAGCACUGUUUCUCCGGGGACCAGGGCUGGCUGCGCCCAAGGCACCAAGCGGCAGACCGCACCCGGAGCCCAGCGGGCCGCGGGACGGAGCGGUGAUGCUCGCACUGUGCCCGUCUGGGUUUGCUGUGCUCCCACGGCACUUACUCGCCUGCCUUCCACGAGGGGCCACAGCUGAGCAAACGGGGGCGCGUCCAUAUGGCCGUGCUCAUAACACCCUCCACACCACAGCCCGGGGCGGCCCUCCCACGGGGGUGACCAAGCGCUCCCUGGGCACCGCUCCGUGCGGGCACCCUGUGUGCCUGACGGGACAGCAGACACCGGCCACGAUCACUGCCUGCGUCCGCGGAAGUGAGCAGGAGUGGAGAGGAGCCUGCGAGGAGCCCCAGGGACCCCACAAUCAAGGAUGGCCACGGGAGUCAGCCAGGUGCAGCAGGCGUCCUCCUGAAGAGGCAGCGCCCUCCCCCCCAGCCCCAGAUGCAGGCAUGGCAGGUGUGCCCCGCGACUCCAUCGCAGCUGCUGGAGGACGCAGAAUGGAGGUGGCUGGGGGUCAGUGACCGGGUCACGACGCCCGCGGCUAGAAGCCAGAGUGGGUCUUUAAAAGGAGCUCAUGAAGACAGAAGUUAAUUCCUUCAGGAGAGUUGCCCUGACCGAGGGGAGAGGAGACCAGAACAAGCCAGGCGACAGGCAGGUGUUGGGUCCUCAGCCCACCUGCCCCUCAGGCUGUAGGGGAGAGGCCGAGAGAGGCAGGGGAGGGGCUGCGGAGGGGCGGAGGGGGUGGCUCUGAGGGUCAAGAGCCACUCCGGGCUUCUGGAGGCUUCCGGCAGGUCUGGGGGUGUGGGCACCUUGAAGGGCUGGGCGCAGGAGGGGGGCAGUAAAUCAAGCAGGAGCUCCCAGAGCUCCUGGGGACCCUCUUUUGAGACAGAGGGUCAGAGAGCACCCCUGGGGGAGAUGCGGGGCCGGCCUGGAGCGGUAUUCAGGAAGCUUGGAGGAUGGGGACAGGAGGGUCACCUACCGCCCUCGCACUUUCACCGGGGCUGUGUCUAAGGAGCCCAAGUGUCUCUCCAGGGACAACUACAGGCUCCUUGCUGGCAUCGCGUCACGUGAGAGAAGCCAGGUCCUCCCCUCCCCCUGUCACCAUCCGGGGACUCUGUCUAGGAUCAGCCCUCGAGGCCCAUCCCUCCGGGUUCACCUUGGCCGCGGGGCAAGGCCUAACCCCGCCACAGACCUUCAACUUCAGCGAAAACCCGGCAGAAACCGUAAAACACUGGAACAGCUUUUUUGGGUCUUGGGAGAUGGAGACAGAAAGUGCCCUGUGGCAGAGAGUUUAUAAGGGCCAGAGCCACAGGCUUAAGGAAGUCCUUUGGAAAGAAUCGCCAUUGGGGUGCCCAGGGGGCUCAGCCAGUUGAGAGGCCAACUUCGGCUCGGGUCAUGAUCUCAUGGUCCGUGAGUUCCAGCCCCACGUCGGGCUCUGUGCUGACAGCUUGGAGCCUGGAGCCUGCUUCGGAUUCUGUGUCUCCCUCUCUCUCUGCCCCUCCUGCCCCUCACUCUCAAAAAUAAAACAAACGUUAAAAAUAAAAAAAAGAAAGAAUUGGCGACUGGUGCAGGCAAAAAUAACGAAUGUGGGUCUACAGGAGACAGGUCACCGUGCUGGGUGCUGGGUGCAGGUUCAGUGAUCUGCACGGGAUGUGCCGGCUGGGCAGGUCUACAAGCUCCCGUCCCAGGGCGCCUGGGGGCUCCGUCGGUGAAGGGCCCGACUCUUGGUUUUGGUUUAGGUCAUGAUCUCAGUUUGUGAGUUCAAGCCCCGAGUCAGGCUCUGUGCUGACAGAUCCUCUCUCUCUGCCCCUCACUUCUGCUCCCCCCGGCCCCCCCCCCCCCCGUGCCCUCUGUGUCUCAAAAUAAACUCACUUUAAAAACUCA